This 492-nucleotide ribosomal RNA is filed under the name uncultured bacterium. Its description in RNAcentral is "partial 16S ribosomal RNA". It matches the Rfam family "Bacterial small subunit ribosomal RNA", at positions 30 to 507 of the family's 1533-position model. The record is from RNAcentral.
AUUGAACGCUGGCGGCAUGCUUUACACAUGCAAGUCGAACGGUAACAGGCCUUCGGUUGCUGACGAGUGGCGAACGGGUGAGUAAUGCAUCGGAACGUACCCAGAGGUGGGGGAUAACGCAGCGAAAGCUGUGCUAAUACCGCAUGUGAUCUGAGGAUGAAAGCGGGGGACCGAGCAGCAAUGUUUGGCCUCGCGCCUUUGGAGCGGCAGAUGUCGGAUUAGCUAGUUGGUGGGGUAAAGGCCUACCAAGGCGACGAUCCGUAGCUGGUCUGAGAGGACGACCAGCCACACUGGGACUGAGACACGGCCCAGACUCCUACGGGAGGCAGCAGUGGGGAAUUUUGGACAAUGGGCGCAAGCCUGAUCCAGCAAUGCCGCGUGCGGGAAGAAGGCCUUCGGGUUGUAAACCGCUUUUGGCAGGAACGAAACGGUGUCCGCUAAUACCGGGCGCUAAUGACGGUACCUGCAGAAUAAGCACCGGCUAACUACGUG